AGCAUGCAUGCAUGCAUAAUCUGGCCCUUCGGUGUCCUAGUUGUUUUCUCAAGAAGUGUUUUCCGCGUUGGACCGCACACAAGUCUGUUGGAAUACAGCGGAAUAGUGGUGAAACCCCCGUGUAUGGGGCGGAGUCCCCCCGCUUUGUGAUCCAUUUUCGAAUAGUCUAGUUGGUUGGUAAUGCUCUUCAUGUUGGGUGGUUUAUUCCAUCUAAUGCUAAUUAUUGACAAAACACCGAUACCCAACAAGUACCGUGAGGGAAAGAUGAAAACUUCUUUGAAAAAAUAGUUAACAAUAAUGCAUGCUAGGAGGGAAAACUCUUGAUCUCACAUUUGCUUGCCGAUCAGUCGGUUUGCUGGCCAGCUUCCAUGCAUGAUGCAUGCAUUAAUGGCAGAUACAACGUACCAAUUUCGGCUGUGUUAUUGCUAUGCAUUGUAUACAUCUUGGGGGACUGACGAAGGCGUUGUGCCUUUGGCCGGGGUUUCGACCUCUUCUCCCUUAAGAUGCUGGGGGAAUGGCUUUAAACCACCCCUCUUGAA
Molecule: ribosomal RNA, 539 nt
Filed under: Rhodotorula mucilaginosa
Lineage: Eukaryota; Fungi; Basidiomycota; Microbotryomycetes; Sporidiobolales; Sporidiobolaceae
Description: partial large subunit ribosomal RNA
Rfam family: Eukaryotic large subunit ribosomal RNA
Source: RNAcentral